Stylophora pistillata is the source of this 640-nucleotide long non-coding RNA. Lineage: Eukaryota; Metazoa; Cnidaria; Anthozoa; Scleractinia; Pocilloporidae. The record is from RefSeq and is a predicted model, not a curated record.
UCACUAUUGUUAAUUCACAACUAUGUUUACUUCUCAGGGUCAACAGAACGCAGGUUUUUGGAGAACAUUGAUGUGAUUGUGAUGCGCUCACUGCCAUUACAAAAUCUCAAGUUUUUUUUUUAGAGCAAAGAGGUUGCUGAGACAUAUCUGUUGAACCAAGUUACAUUUUGUGAGGAAAUGGUUCAGGUUGAUUUAGGAAAGUGUUGUGUAUCCUUUCUGGUUCACCCAUGCUGAAGUCCUGGCAUUCAGAGUAAUGCCUGAGCGCUUCUGGGAUAUAUAACAUGAAGAAAUUCUUGGAGUUUCAUAGCACUACACUAAUCUGAAAAAUUCUGGAACAUUUUUGAGAGACUGGGGAACCCACUCAAACAUAAUUGGCAUUGGUGAUACAGUUCUCCUAAGGCAGGAAAUAGAUGCGAAGCUGGCAUUUUGGAUUAGAAAGCAACAGGAAGUAGUUUCAAAGCUAACCAUCCUUCAGAAAGGCGAAAAGUACCCAGAAGAUGUUCAGAAUUAUGUUGCUGAGUAUCAACUAGAUGCCUAUCGAAAUGUUUUCUGCAAGUGGCGUGAGAUUGCCAAGAUCAUGCGGCAAAGAGUUUUUGAAGAAGACAUGGAAGAGGAAAUCGAUAUUUUUGACUUGGAGGUU